Molecule: ribosomal RNA, 453 nt
Filed under: uncultured bacterium
Lineage: Bacteria
Description: SSU rRNA
Rfam family: Bacterial small subunit ribosomal RNA
Source: RNAcentral
AGAGCGAACGCUGGCGGCAGGCUUAACACAUGCAAGUCGCACGGGCAGGGGUAACUCUGUCAGUGGCGGACGGGUGAGUAACGCGUAGGUAUCUAUCCUCGGGUGGGGGGACAACCACGGGAAACUGUGGCUAAUACCGCAUGAUGACUGAGGUCCAAAGGCGCAAGUCGCCUGGGGAGGAGCCUGCGUCCGAUUAGCUUGUUGGUGGGGUAAAGGCCUACCAAGGCUCCGAUCGGUAGCUGGUCUGAGAGGAUGAUCAGCCACACUGGGACUGAGACACGGCCCAGACUCCUACGGGAGGCAGCAGUGGGGAAUAUUGGACAAUGGGCGAAAGCCUGAUCCAGCAAUGCCGCGUGGGUGAAGAAGGUCUUCGGAUUGUAAAGCCCUUUCGACGGGGACGAUGAUGACGGUACCCGUAGAAGAACGCCCGGCUAACUUCGUGCCAGCAGCCGC